CGGGACGGGUGAGUAACGCGUGAGCAAUCCGCCUUUAAGAGGGGGAUAACAGUCGGAAACGGCUGCUAAUACCGCAUAAGCCCACGGCUCGGCAUCGAGCAGAGGGAAAAGGAGUGAUCCGCUUUGAGAUGGCCUCGCGUCCGAUUAGCUGGUUGGUGAGGUAACGGCCCACCAAGGCGACGAUCGGUAGCCGGACUGAGAGGUUGAACGGCCACAUUGGGACUGAGACACGGCCCAG
RNAcentral lists this ribosomal RNA (238 nucleotides) under uncultured bacterium. RNAcentral describes it as "partial 16S ribosomal RNA". It matches the Rfam family "Bacterial small subunit ribosomal RNA", at positions 100 to 334 of the family's 1533-position model. The record is from RNAcentral.